This 480-nucleotide ribosomal RNA is filed under the name uncultured bacterium. RNAcentral's name for it is "partial 16S ribosomal RNA". It matches the Rfam family "Bacterial small subunit ribosomal RNA", at positions 28 to 523 of the family's 1533-position model. The record is from RNAcentral.
GACGAACGCUGGCGGCGUGCUUUAUACAUGCAAGUCGAACGAUGAAGUUCCUUCGGGAAUGGAUUAGUGGCGAACGGGUGAGGAACACGUGAGAAACCUGCCUUUCAUUCUGGGAUAACACCGGGAAACCGGUGCUAAUACCGGAUACUCCGUCUUGGCGGCAUCGCCGAGCCGGGAAAAAAUUUUGAUGAAAGAUGGUCUCGCGGCCUAUCAGCUAGUUGGUGAGGUAAAGGCUCACCAAGGCGACGACGGGUAGCCGGCCUGAGAGGGCGACCGGCCACACUGGGACUGGGACACGGCCCAGACUCCUACGGGAGGCAGCAGUAGGGAAUAUUGGGCAAUGGGCACAAGCCUGACCCAGCGACGCCGCGUGAGGGAUGAAGGUCUUCGGAUUGUAAACCUCUUUCAGUAGGGAAGAAGCGAAAGUGACGGUACCUAAAGAAGAAGCACCGGCUAACUAUGUGCCAGCAGCCGCGGUAA